GGAGAGAUGCGAGAGUGGUUGAAUCGGGCGGUCUCGAAAACCGUUGAACUCGCAAGAGUUCCGGGGGUUCGAAUCCCCCUCUCUCCG
Molecule: transfer RNA, 87 nt
Filed under: Treponema sp.
Lineage: Bacteria; Pseudomonadati; Spirochaetota; Spirochaetia; Treponematales; Treponemataceae
Description: tRNA-Ser
Rfam family: tRNA
About the family: Transfer RNA (tRNA) molecules are approximately 80 nucleotides in length.
Source: RNAcentral